CUAUCUACAGGCUUAACACAUGCAAGUCGAGGGGCAGCAUGGUCUUAGCUUGCUAAGGCCGAUGGCGACCGGCGCACGGGUGAGUAACACGUAUCCAACCUGCCGUCUACUCUUGGACAGCCUUCUGAAAGGAAGAUUAAUACAAGAUGGCAUCAUGAGUCCGCAUGUUCACAUGAUUAAAGGUAUUCCGGUAGACGAUGGGGAUGCGUUCCAUUAGAUAGUAGGCGGGGUAACGGCCCACCUAGUCUUCGAUGGAUAGGGGUUCUGAGAGGAAGGUCCCCCACAUUGGAACUGAGACACGGUCCAAACUCCUACGGGAGGCAGCAGUGAGGAAUAUUGGUCAAUGGGCGAGAGCCUGAACCAGCCAAGUAGCGUGAAGGAUGACUGCCCUAUGGGUUGUAAACUUCUUUUAUAAAGGAAUAAAGUCGGGUAUGGAUACCCGUUUGCAUGUACUUUAUGAAUAAGGAUCGGCUAACUCCGUGCCAGCAGCCGCGGUAAUACGGAGGAUCCGAGCGUUAUCCGGAUUUAUUGGGUUUAAAGGGAGCGUAGAUGGAUGUUUAAGUCAGUUGUGAAAGUUUGCGGCUCAACCGUAAAAUUGCAGUUGAUACUGGAUAUCUUGAGUGCAGUUGAGGCAGGCGGAAUUCGUGGUGUAGCGGUGAAAUGCUUAGAUAUCACGAAGAACUCCGAUUGCGAAGGCAGCCUGCUAAGCUGCAACUGACAUUGAGGCUCGAAAGUGUGGGUAUCAAACAGGAUUAGAUACCCUGGUAGUCCACACGGUAAACGAUGAAUACUCGCUGUUUGCGAUAUACUGCAAGCGGCCAAGCGAAAGCGUUAAGUAUUCCACCUGGGGAGUACGCCGGCAACGGUGAAACUCAAAGGAAUUGACGGGGGCCCGCACAAGCGGAGGAACAUGUGGUUUAAUUCGAUGAUACGCGAGGAACCUUACCCGGGCUUAAAUUGCAGAUGAAUUACGGUGAAAGCCGUAAGCCGCAAGGCAUCUGUGAAGGUGCUGCAUGGUUGUCGUCAGCUCGUGCCGUGAGGUGUCGGCUUAAGUGCCAUAACGAGCGCAACCCUUGUUGUCAGUUACUAACAGGUUCCGCUGAGGACUCUGACAAGACUGCCAUCGUAAGAUGUGAGGAAGGUGGGGAUGACGUCAAAUCAGCACGGCCCUUACGUCCGGGGCUACACACGUGUUACAAUGGGGGGUACAGAGGGCCGCUACCACGCGAGUGGAUGCCAAUCCCCAAAACCUCUCUCAGUUCGGACUGGAGUCUGCAACCCGACUCCACGAAGCUGGAUUCGCUAGUAAUCGCGCAUCAGCCACGGCGCGGUGAAUACGUUCCCGGGCCUUGUACACACCGCCCGUCAAGCCAUGGGAGCCGGGGGUACCUGAAGUGCGUAACCGCGAGGAGCGCCCUAGGGUAAAACUGGUGACUGGGGCUA
RNAcentral lists this ribosomal RNA (1443 nucleotides) under uncultured organism. RNAcentral's name for it is "SSU rRNA". It matches the Rfam family "Bacterial small subunit ribosomal RNA". The record is from RNAcentral.